This is a long non-coding RNA of Engraulis encrasicolus (European anchovy), 928 nucleotides long. RefSeq lists it as uncharacterized. NCBI's taxonomy places the organism in Eukaryota, Metazoa, Chordata, Actinopteri, Clupeiformes, Engraulidae. The record is from RefSeq and is a predicted model, not a curated record. The transcript has 4 exons.
CAGAUAGGCCUAGCCUAUUUAUAGAUUGUGUUAUGUUGAAAGAACCCAACGCAGUCAGGCAAUUUCUUCAAACUACCCAGAAUGCAACGCUCCAGCUUUUCAAAUUGCAGGAAGGCGCGAGGAGUAAACAGACUAGUUCGCCUGCAAGAAAUGUACCACGUGAUGCAGUAGCCUGUUGAUGCUGGCAAAAGAUGCAAUCUGGAGGAUUUCAGGGUACGUUUUACUAUGCUUCAAUGUUAGGUGAGAUGAAUGUAAUGCAGUGUUUCCCAACCAGGGGUACGUGUACCACUAGGAGUAUGUUUUAUUUUAUGAAUAAAAACAAAUGUAUGGUCAUGAUCAUAUUGGGAUAAAGAACAUGAGUGAGGUGGUACUCAUACUAUGACAAAAAUGCUUAGGGGGUACUCAAGACGAAAAAGGUUGGGAGACACUGAUGUAUGCCCAGAUCAUGUACGCCCAGAGCAAAGUCACAGGCAGUGUGCUUCUCUUGCAUUCACAGACUGCCCAUGCUUUUUUAAAGAGAUAAGUUAGAAUGCUUUGCAUAUCUAUUUGUGUAGAGUUAAUCACCAAGACAAUUUCCAGAAGUUGUAUCCAGGUGUCAAUUGUGUCCUUGUUCUGGUGUUGUUAUUUUCAAACAGAGAUGGCUCUUGCUCACUGGCAGUGACUUGGGUCAUGUGAGACAGCAUCAGAGCUCGGGUGACAUCUCUCGCUCGGGUGAAAUCUCUCCUGGAAGAUUUCAAGGUGUGUGCAGAGUUCUGAAGAAUAAAAGUCAACAGUCAAGUUCUUCUCCAUAUUCUCCAAAUCUGACGGAGGCGUUCCAUCAGGAAAGGGGGAAUGGUUGGUCGAUGCCUCCAGAAUAAUGAUACCCAUGACCCAGGCACAACAUGCUGACAGGGAAUCGGCUAUGGCAGAAAGCAUCCAUGCCAUCUAC